UAUACUUAAGUAUUAUUGUAUAAGAAUUUUUGGAAUUCUAGGUAUUAGUUUAAAUCUAUUAGGUAUAA
RNAcentral lists this transfer RNA (68 nucleotides) under Aoria nigripes. RNAcentral describes it as "tRNA-Gln". Lineage: Eukaryota; Metazoa; Arthropoda; Insecta; Coleoptera; Chrysomelidae. The record is from RNAcentral.